CCCGCACAAGCGGUGGAGCAUGUGGUUAAUUCGACGCAACGCGAAGAACCUUACCAGGGCUUGACAUCCCCUGACCGCGUAUGAAAGUACGUUUUCACCCUCGGGUGACAGGGAGACAGGUGGUGCAUGGUUGUCGUCAGCUCGUGUCGUGAGAUGUUGGGUUAAGUCCCGCAACGAGCGCAACCCCUACGCUUAGUUGCUAACGCGUGAAGGCGAGCACUCUAGACGAACUGCCGUUGACAAAACGGAGGAAGGUGGGGAUGACGUCAAAUCAUCAUGCCCCUUAUGUUCUGGGCUACACACGUGCUACAAUGGCCGGUACAGACGGACGCAAAGCCGCGAGGUGGAGCAAAUCCUAAAAAGCCGGUCUCAGUUCGGAUUGCAGGCUGCAAUUCGCCUGCAUGAAGUCGGAAUCGCUAGUAAUCGCAGGUCAGCAUACUGCGGUGAAUACGUUCCCGGGCCUU
RNAcentral lists this ribosomal RNA (464 nucleotides) under uncultured Pelotomaculum sp. Its description in RNAcentral is "bacterial SSU rRNA". It matches the Rfam family "Bacterial small subunit ribosomal RNA", at positions 920 to 1382 of the family's 1533-position model. Lineage: Bacteria; Bacillati; Bacillota; Clostridia; Eubacteriales; Desulfotomaculaceae. The record is from RNAcentral.